Molecule: ribosomal RNA, 508 nt
Filed under: uncultured bacterium
Lineage: Bacteria
Description: partial 16S ribosomal RNA
Rfam family: Bacterial small subunit ribosomal RNA
Source: RNAcentral
AUUGAACGCUGGCGGCAUGCCUUACACAUGCAAGUCGAACGGCAGCGGGGGAGAAGCUUGCUUUUCCUGCCGGCGAGUGGCGAACGGGUGAGUAAUACAUCGGAACGUGCCCUGUAGUGGGGGAUAACUAGUCGAAAGAUUAGCUAAUACCGCAUACGACCUGAGGGUGAAAGUGGGGGACCGCAAGGCCUCAUGCUAUAGGAGCGGCCGAUGUCUGAUUAGCUAGUUGGUGGGGUAAAGGCCUACCAAGGCGACGAUCAGUAGCUGGUCUGCGAGGACGAUCAGCCACACUGGGACUGAGACACGGCCCAGACUCCUACGGGAGGCAGCAGUGGGGAAUUUUGGACAAUGGGCGUAAGCCUGAUCCAGCAAUGCCGCGUGUGUGAAGAAGGCCUUCGGGUCGUAAAGCACUUUUGUCCGGAAAGAAAUGGCUCUGGUUAAUACCUGGGGUCGAUGACGGUACCGGAAGAAUAAGGACCGGCUAACUACGUGCCAGCCGCCGCGGUAA